Molecule: ribosomal RNA, 469 nt
Filed under: uncultured bacterium
Lineage: Bacteria
Description: partial 16S ribosomal RNA
Rfam family: Bacterial small subunit ribosomal RNA
Source: RNAcentral
GACGAACGCUGGCGGCGUGCUUAACACAUGCAAGUCGAACGGUGAAGCGAGUGCUUGCACUCGUGGAUCAGUGGCGAACGGGUGAGUAACACGUGAGUAACCUGCCCAUCACUCUGGGAUAAGCACUGGAAACGGUGUCUAAUACUGGAUACGACCAACCCUUGCAUGGGGUGUUGGUGGAAAGAUUUAUCGGUGAUGGAUGGACUCGCGGCCUAUCAGCUUGUUGGCGGGGUAAUGGCCCACCAAGGCGUCGACGGGUAGCCGGCCUGAGAGGGUGACCGGCCACACUGGGACUGAGACACGGCCCAGACUCCUACGGGAGGCAGCAGUGGGGAAUAUUGCACAAUGGGCGAAAGCCUGAUGCAGCGACGCCGCGUGAGGGAUGACGGCCUUCGGGUUGUAAACCUCUUUCAGCAGGGAAGAAGCGAAAGUGACGGUACCUGCAGAAGAAGCACCGGCUAACUACGUG